RNAcentral lists this ribosomal RNA (317 nucleotides) under Neisseria mucosa. Its description in RNAcentral is "bacterial SSU rRNA". It matches the Rfam family "Bacterial small subunit ribosomal RNA", at positions 194 to 493 of the family's 1533-position model. Lineage: Bacteria; Pseudomonadati; Pseudomonadota; Betaproteobacteria; Neisseriales; Neisseriaceae. The record is from RNAcentral.
CUGAGGAAGAAAGCAGGGGACCAUUUGGCCUUGCGCUGUUUGAGCGGCCGAUAUCUGAUUAGCUAGUUGGUGGGGUAAAGGCCUACCAAGGCGACGAUCAGUAGCGGGUCUGAGAGGAUGAUCCGCCACACUGGGACUGAGACACGGCCCAGACUCCUACGGGAGGCAGCAGUGGGGAAUUUUGGACAAUGGGCGCAAGCCUGAUCCAGCCAUGCCGCGUGUCUGAAGAAAGGGCUUCGGGUUGUAAAGGACUUUUGUCAGGGAAGAAAAGGGCGGGGUUAAUACCCCUUCUGAUGACGGACCUGAAGAAUAACACC